AGAGUUUGAUCAUGGCUCAGGACGAACGCUGGCGGCACGCCUAACACAUGCAAGUCGAACGGUGAAGAGAAGCUUGCUUCUCGGAUCAGUGGCGGACGGGUGAGUAACAUGUGAGGAACCUGCCUUUCAGAGGGGGAUAACGUUUGGAAACGAACGCUAAUACCGCAUAACAUAUUCGGACGGCAUCGUCUGAAUAUCAAAGGAGCAAUCCGCUGGAAGAUGGCCUCGCACCUGAUUAGAUAGUUGGUGAGGUAACGGCUCACCAAGUCGACGAUCAGUAGCCGGACUGAGAGGUUGAACGGCCACAUUGGGACUGAGACACGGCCCAGACUCCUACGGGAGGCAGCAGUGGGGGAUAUUGCGCAAUGGGGGAAACCCUGACGCAGCGAUGCCGCGUGGAGGAAGAAGGUUUUCGGAUUGUAAACUCCUGUCUUCAGGGACGAUAAUGACGGUACCUGAGGAGGAAGCUCCGGCUAACUGCGUGCCAGCAGCCGCGGUAAUACGUAGGGAGCAAGCGUUGUCCGGAAUUACUGGGUGUAAAGGGAGCGCAGGCGGGCGAGCAAGUUGGAAGUGAAAAUCAUGGGCUUAACCCAUGACCUGCUUUCAAAACUGCUUGUCUUGAGUGGUGUAGAGGUAGGCGGAAUUCCCGGUGUAGCGGUGGAAUGCGUAGAUAUCGGGAGGAACACCAGUGGCGAAGGCGGCCUACUGGGCACUAACUGACGCUGAGGCUCGAAAGCAUGGGUAGCAAACAGGAUUAGAUACCCUGGUAGUCCAUGCCGUAAACGAUGAUUACUAGGUGUAGGGUGUUACACGCAUUCUGUGCCGCAGUUAACACAAUAAGUAAUCCACCUGGGGAGUACGACCGCAAGGUUGAAACUCAAAGGAAUUGACGGGGCCCCGCACAAGCGGUGGAGCAUGUGGUUUAAUUCGAAGCAACGCGAAGAACCUUACCAGGUCUUGACAUCCCGCUGACCGGCCUAGAGAUAGGCUUUUCCCUUCGGGGACAGCGGUGACAGGUGGUGCAUGGUUGUCGUCAGCUCGUGUCGUGAGAUGUUGGGUUAAGUCCCGCAACGAGCGCAACCCUUGAUCUUAGUUGCCAGCAUUUAGUUGGGCACUCUAAGGUGACUGCCGGUGAUAAACCGGAGGAAGGUGGGGAUGACGUCAAAUCAUCAUGCCCCUUAUGACCUGGGCUACACACGUGCUACAAUGGACGGUACAGAGGGUCGCAACCCCGCGAGGGUGAGCAAAUCCCAUAAAACCGUUCUCAGUUCGGAUUGUAGGCUGCAACUCGCCUACAUGAAGCCGGAAUCGCUAGUAAUCGUGGAUCAGCAUGCCACGGUGAACACGUUCCCGGGCCUUGCACUCACCGCCCGU
Molecule: ribosomal RNA, 1374 nt
Filed under: uncultured bacterium
Lineage: Bacteria
Description: bacterial SSU rRNA
Rfam family: Bacterial small subunit ribosomal RNA
Source: RNAcentral